ACAGCCUUAUCAGCAUGAGUGGGAGAGACUUGGCGUUUUCUAAUUGUUGAUGCCAGGUAAGGAAACUUAGCUGAAAUAUGGGUGUAAAUAUGAAUCCCUUAUGUCUUUAUACUUCUCAGAGUUCUUUGACAUUGAAUCUCAUUGGUUCUUCACCCAAACUGUUGCAGUUUUCAACACAGAAAAUAUGAUUCUCUCUCUCGCUCUCUCUUUUUUUUUUUUUUUUUGCAGAUGGAGAGACAGAGGGAAGAAGAGACUUGGAAUCACUCCGUCCUGGCUGUGGGCUGUAUAGCAAGUUUUGGAAGCGCUGAACACCCACACAGAGCUGGCUGCUCUCAGGCGAGGAGGCAUCUUCACUAAGGAGAAUGCAGAAAGGUGACACUGCAUGGCUUCUGAGGCUAGGUCCAGAAAAGGUGAUGCAGCUUCCCACUUUGUGCUGAAAUGCAGCGCUUGGACCUCAGAGCUACUGACUAAGAAGUCCAUGCACUCUGAGCUUCUCUUGCUGGGGAAGCCACGUGCAGGCAUUCAGUUCCCAGCCCAGCUGAGCUUCAUCCUGGCUGCAACAAUUGUUCUCAUGAGGAAGCUGUCUUGGACAUCCAGCUCCAUGGAGCCUCCACAUGUCGCCAGCCCCAUCUGACAUCUCACUGCAGCCACAGAAGAGCCUCCAACCAAGAACUGCACAGCUGAACCCUUUCUAAAUUCUUAACCUCCAAAAAGCCAUGCACAAAAUAAAAUGGUUAUUUUGAGCCACUAAACUUUGGAGCCUCGAGUAGGGGAGAAGUUCCUUUGGGUAGGUGUCGUUUUCCUAGGCUACCAUCCAUUUUCUCUUAUUUUAGUGAUAGCAGUCUGAUUUGUGUGUGUUGUGUGUGUUUUGUGUGUGUGUGGGUGGGUCGGGGGUAACCCUGUUCUUAAGCCAUGUAGUUCAGGUGCCUCCUGGAUGUGCCUACGUAACCAUCAUAUCCCCCCUACAGUACAGUGUUUGUAAAGAAUUGAGCAAAUAAUCUAGGACGGACCACUGAGAUUCUGCCUUGUGACUUUUGUUAAAAUUAGUGAGAAAAAGUCAGUCUCUGGGCAGGCUGGGGUAAAGAGGGAUUGCUAAACAGGUGCUAGGUAAGCCUGAAACUGCUGGGGGCCAAUUUAGUAUGAAGCAGGAAGAACCUAAUAAGGAAUAAAGUUACUCUGGAGGAAAGCCAAGCAGGGGAUGGAGAGA
Molecule: long non-coding RNA, 1207 nt
Organism: Cercocebus atys (sooty mangabey)
Lineage: Eukaryota; Metazoa; Chordata; Mammalia; Primates; Cercopithecidae
Exons: 3
Source: RefSeq, a predicted model, not a curated record